UGAGAUGGGGAGGAGUGGGGGCCAUGUUGUUCUUAGAAUGAGAUGGGGAGGGAGUGGGGGCCAUGUUGUUCUUAGAAUGAGAUGGGGAGGUAGUGGGGGCCAUGUUGUUCUUAGAAUGAGAUGGGGAGGGAGUGGGGGCCAUGUUGUUCUUAGAAUGAGAUGGGGAGGUAGUGGGGGCCAUGUUGUUCUUAGAAUGAGAUGGGGAGGUAGUGGGGGCCAUGUUGUUCUUAGAAUGAGAUGGGGAGGUGUUGCUCUUAGAAUGAGAUGGGGAGGGAGUGGGGGCCAUGUUGUUCUUAGAAUGAGAUGGGGAGGGUGGGGGCCAUGUUGUUCUUAGAAUGAGAUGGGGAGGGAGUGGGGGCCAUGUUGUUCUUAGAAUGAGAUGGGGAGGUAGUGGGGGCCAUGUUGUUCUUAGAAUGAGAUGGGGAGGG
Molecule: long non-coding RNA, 428 nt
Organism: Oncorhynchus tshawytscha (Chinook salmon)
Lineage: Eukaryota; Metazoa; Chordata; Actinopteri; Salmoniformes; Salmonidae
Source: Ensembl